UACAGAGGUCUCAAGCGUUGUUCGGAUUCAUUGGGCGUAAAGGGUGCGUAGGUGGCGCGCUAAGUCAGGUGUGAAAUCUCGGGGCUUAACUCCGAAACUGCAUUUGAUACUGGCGUGCUUGAGGACUGGAGAGGAGACUGGAAUUCAUGGUGUAGCAGUGAAAUGCGUAGAGAUCAUGAGGAAGACCAGUGGCGAAGGCGGGUCUCUGGACAGUUCCUGACACUGAGGCACGAAGGCGAGGGGAGCAAACGGG
This 253-nucleotide ribosomal RNA is filed under the name uncultured bacterium. RNAcentral's name for it is "partial 16S ribosomal RNA". It matches the Rfam family "Bacterial small subunit ribosomal RNA", at positions 524 to 776 of the family's 1533-position model. The record is from RNAcentral.